GACGAACGCUGGCGGCGUGCUUAACACAUGCAAGUCGAACGGUAAGGCCCUUCGGGGUACACGAGUGGCGAACGGGUGAGUAACACGUGGGUGAUCUGCCCUGCACUUCGGGAUAAGCCUGGGCAACUGGGUCUAAUACCGGAUAGGACUCCGGACUGCAUGGUCUGGGGUGGAAAGCUUUUGCGGUGUGGGAUGGGCCCGCGGCCUAUCAGCUUGUUGGUGGGGUGAUGGCCUACCAAGGCGACGACGGGUAGCCGGCCUGAGAGGGUGACCGUCCACACUGGGACUGAGAUACGGCCCAGACUCCUACGGGAGGCAGCAGUGGGGAAUAUUGCACAAUGGGCGCAAGCCUGAUGCAGCGACGCCGCGUGAGGGAUGACGGCCUUCGGGUUGUAAACCUCUUUCAGCAUCGACGAAGCGAAAGUGACGGUAGGUGCAGAAGAAGGACCGGCCAACUACGUGCCAGCAGCCGCAGUAA
Molecule: ribosomal RNA, 478 nt
Filed under: uncultured bacterium
Lineage: Bacteria
Description: partial 16S ribosomal RNA
Rfam family: Bacterial small subunit ribosomal RNA
Source: RNAcentral